RNAcentral lists this non-coding RNA (99 nucleotides) under bovine gut metagenome. RNAcentral's name for it is "SAM riboswitch (S box leader)". It matches the Rfam family "SAM riboswitch aptamer (S box leader)". From Rfam's summary of the family: The SAM riboswitch is found upstream of a number of genes which code for proteins involved in methionine or cysteine biosynthesis in Gram-positive bacteria. The SAM riboswitch acts at the level of transcription termination control. RNAcentral also lists the same sequence under 1 other name. The record is from RNAcentral.
CUUAUCAGGAGUGACUGAGGGAACAGGCCCUGUGACGUCCGACAACCUGCCGUUUUUUUCGGUAAGGUGCCAAAUCCUGCGGCUUGACCGAAAGAUGAG